RNAcentral lists this ribosomal RNA (267 nucleotides) under uncultured bacterium. RNAcentral describes it as "partial 16S ribosomal RNA". It matches the Rfam family "Bacterial small subunit ribosomal RNA", at positions 793 to 1055 of the family's 1533-position model. The record is from RNAcentral.
GUCCACGCCCUAAACGAUGGGCACUAAGUGUGGGAGGUAUCGACCCCUCCCGUGCCGCACCUAACGGAGUAAGUGCCCCGCCUGGGGAGUACGGCCGCAAGGUUGAAACUAAAAGGAAUUGACGGGGGCCCGCACAAGCGGUGGAGCAUGUGGUUUAAUUCGACGCAACGCGAAGAACAUUACCCAGGCUUGACAUGUAGGUAGUAGGAACCUGAAAGGGAGACGACCCCGCAAGGGGAGCCUGCACAGGUGCUGCAUGGCUGUCGU